RNAcentral lists this ribosomal RNA (450 nucleotides) under uncultured bacterium. Its description in RNAcentral is "partial 16S ribosomal RNA". It matches the Rfam family "Bacterial small subunit ribosomal RNA", at positions 354 to 796 of the family's 1533-position model. The record is from RNAcentral.
GUGGGGAAUCUUCCGCAAUGGACGAAAGUCUGACGGAGCAACGCCGCGUGAGUGAUGAAGGUCUUCGGAUUGUAAAGCUCUGUUAAUCGGGACGAAAGAGCCUAGUGUGAAUAAUGCUAGGAAGUGACGGUACCGGAAUAGAAAGCCACGGCUAACUACGUGCCAGCAGCCGCGGUAAUAUGUAGGUGGCAAGCGUUGUCCGGAAUUAUUGGGCGUAAAGCGCGCGCAGGCGGAUCUGCCAGUCUGUCUUAAAAGUUCGGGGCUUAACCCCGUGAUGGGAUGGAAACUACAGAUCUAGAGUAUCGGAGAGGAAAGUGGAAUUCCUAGUGUAGCGGUGAAAUGCGUAGAUAUUAGGAAGAACACCAGUGGCGAAGGCGACUUUCUGGACGAAAACUGACGCUGAGGCGCGAAAGCCAGGGGAGCGAACGGGAUUAGAUACCCGAGUAGUCC